UUAAAAGAUAAUUGGUGGAAUUUCUUUCCUUAAUGCAUUUGAGCCAAUCAGUUGGGUUGUGACAGCCCUAUUUGGUAAAAGUCCAAGUUCAUAUUAUGGCAAGAACAGCUCAAAUAAGUAAAGAGAAACGACAGUCCAUAAUUACUUCAAGACAUGACGGUAGUUUUUCUUGUUCCAUACCAGGCUGCCAUGGUGUGGGCCUAGCGAGCUGAGCCUUCAAAAAUCAUAUCAGGAGAUAUUCUCCUCCAAUUCGCGUUGAAAGGAGGCGAAGAGAGAGAAUGUGAGGAAUCGAAGAAAGACAAAUUGAGAAAGAGCCUAUCCCUGAGCGGGUUGGAUAGAUGUUCUAGGGGUUCUGCAAUGCUCAGAGAAGACUACCGUAUCUCUUCCCCAGACCUGUAUCCAUUUGACGUCCUCCGUGACCAACCACCCUCCAAGAUCCCACUUUUCAUUACAUUAUCUACAGCUACUGUCAUUGUCAUGUUUAAUCUAAUCUGCUAAGAAACUGCUUGCCAUAUCAUACUAGGCACAGUGAGAUACACAGAUGAACUACGUACACUAGCACUGCAAACACUCCAAGAGCGAAGAGAGCAGCUGUGCCAGGACUUUGCAAUCACCAUCUUUAAGUCCCACUUCUGAGAUUGCAUGCCUGUGGAGGGAAAGUGAAGGGCAAAACCCAUAGCACCCACCUCCUCUCUAUUCCAGAAUUGAGAGAUACAUUUUUUUUUAUCCAUACCCUAUUUCUGCUAAGACUCUUUUGAACAUCCCCUCUUAUAUUAUGUACAUUACUUGUCAUUCAAACUUAUUUUUUCUAAACUAAAUGGUAUAUUACUGUUGAUGUGUUGAUAGUCAUGUAUUCCAGUCUAUAACUGCCAUGUCGGUAUAUUGAAUAAAAUAAACAAGUUCAUGACACAACUGUUUCACAAAAAGAGCAACGUUUUCAUAUUUCACUCUUAAAUAUUGCCAGGUAGUUGUUUUCACAGGGUGUUCAUUUAAUUAAUUGAUUUUUGGUAUUUGUGAGUUCAACAUUAUUCAGUUGUCCUGCAUUAUAUUCAACCACAAGGGCCUUACUGUAUUACUG
Molecule: long non-coding RNA, 1078 nt
Organism: Oncorhynchus tshawytscha (Chinook salmon)
Lineage: Eukaryota; Metazoa; Chordata; Actinopteri; Salmoniformes; Salmonidae
Source: Ensembl